This 65-nucleotide transfer RNA is filed under the name Stegodyphus mimosarum. It matches the Rfam family "tRNA". From Rfam's summary of the family: Transfer RNA (tRNA) molecules are approximately 80 nucleotides in length. Their secondary structure includes four short double-helical elements and three loops (D, anti-codon, and T loops). Further hydrogen bonds mediate the characteristic L-shaped molecular structure. tRNAs have two regions of fundamental functional importance: the anti-codon, which is responsible for specific mRNA codon recognition, and the 3' end, to which the tRNAs corresponding amino acid is attached (by aminoacyl-tRNA synthetases). tRNAs cope with the degeneracy of the genetic code in two manners: having more than one tRNA (with a specific anti-codon) for a particular amino acid; and 'wobble' base-pairing, i.e. permitting non-standard base-pairing at the 3rd anti-codon position. The record is from Rfam by way of RNAcentral. Lineage: Eukaryota; Metazoa; Arthropoda; Arachnida; Araneae; Eresidae.
GCCUUCGUGGUGUAGUGGUCAGCAUACUGAGCCAGAGGUCCGUGGUUCGAUUCCCGGCGAAGGCG